This 301-nucleotide ribosomal RNA is filed under the name uncultured bacterium. RNAcentral's name for it is "partial 16S ribosomal RNA". It matches the Rfam family "Bacterial small subunit ribosomal RNA", at positions 509 to 807 of the family's 1533-position model. The record is from RNAcentral.
CAGCAGCCACGGUAAUACGUAGGGUGCAAGCGUUAAUCGGAAUUACUGGGCGUAAAGCGUGCGCAGGCGGUUCGUUAAGACAGAUGUGAAAUCCUCGGGCUUAACCUGGGAACUGCAUUUGUGACUGGCGGGCUAGAGUAUGGCAGAGGGGGGUAGAAUUCCACGUGUAGCAGUGAAAUGCGUAGAAAUGUGGAGGAAUACCGAUGGCGAAGGCAGCCCCCUGGGCCAAUACUGACGCUCAUGCACGAAAGCGUGGGGAGCAAACAGGAUUAGAUACCCCUGUAGUCCCUGUCUCUUAUAC